CUGCCCGGAGAAGCUGGGCGACUCUGAGC
Molecule: non-coding RNA, 29 nt
Filed under: Cricetulus griseus (Chinese hamster)
Lineage: Eukaryota; Metazoa; Chordata; Mammalia; Rodentia; Cricetidae
Source: RNAcentral